GCCGGGUAUGGUGGUGCACGCCUUUAAUCCCAGCACUCGGGAGGCAGAGGCAGGUGGAUUUCUGAGUUCAAGGCCAGCCUGGUCUACAAAGUGAGUUCCAGGACAGCUAGGGCUAUACAGAGAAACUCUGUCUCAAAAAAUGAAAAAGGAAAAGAAAAAAGCCUCUUCAUACAAAUAGCCUAGUACAUUCCCCCAAUAUUUGUUUGUUUGUUUGAUUUUUUGAGACAGGGUUUUUUCUGUGUAUCCCUGGCUGCCCUGGAACUCACUUUGUAGACCAGGCUGGCCUCAAACUCAGAAAUCCACCUGCUU
Non-coding RNA from Mus musculus (house mouse), 309 nucleotides. The record is from Rfam. NCBI's taxonomy places the organism in Eukaryota, Metazoa, Chordata, Mammalia, Rodentia, Muridae.